This 1066-nucleotide ribosomal RNA is filed under the name uncultured Sporidiobolales. RNAcentral's name for it is "bacterial SSU rRNA". It matches the Rfam family "Eukaryotic small subunit ribosomal RNA", at positions 529 to 1399 of the family's 1831-position model. The record is from RNAcentral. Lineage: Eukaryota; Fungi; Basidiomycota; Microbotryomycetes; Sporidiobolales.
AUUGAUUGGUUAUUAACCAUUCCCCUUUGCAAGCAGCCGUGUUAUUUCCAGCUCCAUAGCGUAUAUUAACCUUGUUGCCGUUAAAAAGCUCGUAUUCCACACUUCGGAGCCUGAUGUUCGGUCCGACUUCCUGGUGUCGUCUUGCUCAUCGGUCGCUUACAUCCUGCCGAACUCUGAGUGUCAUUUGCUGCCCGUCAUAGCAAACCAGGACGUUUACUUUGCUCGAAUCACACUGUUCAAGAGCGAGCCUACGCCCGAACACAUUAGGAUGGAAUAAUAGAAUCGGACGCCCGCUUCCCAUUUUGUUGGUUCUCCGAGAUCCUCCUUAAUGAUUAAUAGGGAUAGUUGGGGGCUUUUGUAUUCCCACGUCAGAGUCGAAAUUCUUGCGUUGCCGGAAGACAAAGUACUGCGAAACCAUCCGCCAAGGAUGUUUUCGUUGAUCAAGAUGGAAGGAAGGGUGAUCGAAAACGAUCAGAUACCGUUGUAGUCUCUUCUGUAAACUAUGCAUGGUGGGGAUCAUCGCAGGAGUUUCAAUGACUGUGUUAGCACCCCGAAGAGAAAUCUUUAUAUGAACUUCGGGUGGGAACAUGGUUCCCCAGGCUGAACCUUUUAGGCAAUUGACGGAAGGCCACCAACCAGGUGAGGCACCUGCUGGUUUAAUUUGACUCAUCACCCGGAAAACUCCCCCUGCUCCAGACACCCUAAGGAUUGACACAAUUGAUCUGCUCUUUCUUAAUCUCGUGGUUCGCGCCGCAUUGCUCCCUUCCUGAGAUGGAUCGCACUCCAUUGACUGGAUUAAAUUCGGAAAACCAAAGAGCCCCUUGCCCCUGCUACAUAGCACAAUUUGCACCUAUGUUCACCUGCUGACUAUUUUAUAUCCACCUAUCUCCGUCUCUACUUUAGGUAAGAUCUGAAGCCCAUAAACAACUUUUGUUUACCCCUACAAACUACUAAUUUCCGGGACCACUAAACAUAAAAUCACCUCUCAUAGUAGCGACCCUUUCACCUCUCUGCAUUUUUUCGUCCCUUAUUUCACCGUGUAUGAUACUUGGUCUACCCCCUCCUC